Helianthus annuus (common sunflower) is the source of this 951-nucleotide long non-coding RNA. RefSeq lists it as uncharacterized. The transcript has 2 exons. The record is from RefSeq and is a predicted model, not a curated record. NCBI's taxonomy places the organism in Eukaryota, Viridiplantae, Streptophyta, Magnoliopsida, Asterales, Asteraceae.
UGAGUCACACACACACCUCGUUCUCUCUCUCUCAAGAGAACAACUGAGGCGGAGCCGCGGCGGGGUCACGGUGCCGCCACCGCCACUGGCGGUGGUUUGGUGGUUGAUUUUCGGUGCGUCCCGGCGCGUAACCCCCCUAAGACGCACCUUCCGAACCCGUUUCCGAUGAUGGUUUUUUGAAUUGAGCAACGAUUAGGGUAGUAUGGGCCUGCAGCAGCCGCGGUUCGAGACAUUUUCUGGUGACGUGACGGCUGUGGUCGCCUACGGUGGGCAAAACCGACAAGGCCAGACAGAAAGACAGAGAGAGUAGAGAGAGAAGGAGCCGGAGCCGACGUCCCUGGCGACCAACGCCGAAAGCGACGGCGGUAAUGGUGGUGGAUCGCAACUCAGGUUCAAGUAUGAGGUUCUAGAUUCGGAUUCAAGAUUCUUUCUUUUGGUUCAGACUUCGUCUAAGCUCGGGUUUCAUUUUCAGCCGGUUCAGGUCAGGAAACCAACCGAGACAAACAUCAGUCUCGGUCAACUUACGGUUCGGUUUUGGUCUCAGUUCAGGCUUCGAGUUGGGUGUGGUUCAGCAGGUCCGGGUUCGGGCUUGGUCAAGACAAGUCAAACUGGUCAAUGGUUUGGUUAGGGAGUCUCGGGUUCGAAGCGGGUUUCGGUUCAGAUACGUGUAUGGGUCUCGCUGGUCAAGCCGCGCGGUUCGGUCAGAUGGCUCGGUUCGGUCAACUCGGUCAAACCGAGUCAACUCGGUCAAACCUGGUCAACUCGGUGAGUCGACCCGGUCAACUCGGUCAACUUUUUCCGCGAAACAACACGAGACAUGGUAAGGUUUAAUGACGAGAUUUAUUAUGUUAUUUUUAUAUAGUUUUAAUAUUACGUGUGAAUCGAGCUCGAAACAAUCGACGAAAGUAUACUUUACAUCUUUACAUAUUUGACGAAACCUUAUAUAUUGAU